This 253-nucleotide ribosomal RNA is filed under the name uncultured bacterium. RNAcentral describes it as "partial 16S ribosomal RNA". It matches the Rfam family "Bacterial small subunit ribosomal RNA", at positions 524 to 776 of the family's 1533-position model. The record is from RNAcentral.
UACGUAGGGGGCUAGCGUUGUCCGGAUUCAUUGGGCGUAAAGCGCGUGUAGGCGGCCAGGUAGGUCCGUUGUGAAAACCCGAGGCUUAACCUCGGGACGCCGACGGAAACCCUCUGGCUAGGGUCCGGAAGAGGAGAGUGGAAUUCCCGGUGUAGCGGUGAAAUGCGCAGAUAUCGGGAAGAACACCCGUGGCGAAGGCGGCUCUCUGGGACGGUACCGACGCUGAGACGCGAAAGCGUGGGGAGCGAACAGG